Molecule: long non-coding RNA, 483 nt
Organism: Manacus vitellinus (golden-collared manakin)
Lineage: Eukaryota; Metazoa; Chordata; Aves; Passeriformes; Pipridae
Exons: 3
Source: RefSeq, a predicted model, not a curated record
UUGAGGAUAUUGCCACCUUGGUGCAAGGAAAGCUGUCUAAGCAGAAUCGAGUGACUGCAGGAGCACUUGUUGUGCUUGAUGUUCAUGCUAGGAAUGUUCUUGCAUCUCCAGUAAGCAAAAAAGUCAAAGAUGAGAGUGACUUUGAAUGGUUAAGUCAGCUCAGGUGCUACUGGGAGUUAAGUGAUACCUCUCAAUCCUAUUAGAAGAGUGACAAAAAUGUUGCAUCCAAAAAGCUGAAGUUGAAUCAAGAUGAAGGAAAAUUAAAGAUUGCUACUGGUCUGAGAAAGAAAGAAGCAGACCUGAGGGAGGUUCAAGAUAAGUUGCUGUACUCCACCAGACAUGGGAAUCCAAGAAGAAAAGAGAAGGCUGACUUGGAAAUCAGGUUGACUUAUGCAGCAAAAAACUACAAUGAACAGAACAAUUGAUUGGUGGCCUUGGGGAUGAGAAAAUUCACUGGCAUGAGACUGCUUUGGAGCUGGGAAG